RNAcentral lists this ribosomal RNA (441 nucleotides) under uncultured bacterium. RNAcentral describes it as "partial 16S ribosomal RNA". It matches the Rfam family "Bacterial small subunit ribosomal RNA", at positions 338 to 795 of the family's 1533-position model. The record is from RNAcentral.
CCUACGGGUGGCAGCAGUGGGGGAUAUUGCACAAUGGGGGGAACCCUGAUGCAGCGACGCCGCGUGGGUGAAGGAGUGCUUCGGCAUGUAAAGCCCUAUCGGCAGGGAAGAAGCAAGACGGUACCUGACUAAGAAGCCCCGGCUAACUACUUGCCAGCAGCCGCGGUAAUACGCAGGGGGCGAGCGUUAUCCGGAUGUACUGGGUGUAAAGGGAGCGUAGACGGCCAUGCAAGCCAGGGGUGAAAGCCCGGGGCCCAACCCCGGGACUGCCCUUGAAACUGUGCGGCUAGAGUGCGGUAGGGGCAGGCGGAAUGCCUGGUGUAGCGGUGAAAUGCGUAGAUAUCAGGAGGAACACCGGCGGCGAAGGCGGCCUGCUGGACCGCGACUGACGUUGAGGCUCGAAAGCGUGGGGAGCGAACAGGAUUAGAUACCCCAGUAGUC